Dipodomys ordii (Ord's kangaroo rat) is the source of this 287-nucleotide unclassified non-coding RNA. It matches the Rfam family "Metazoan signal recognition particle RNA". From Rfam's summary of the family: The signal recognition particle (SRP) is a universally conserved ribonucleoprotein. The record is from Ensembl. Lineage: Eukaryota; Metazoa; Chordata; Mammalia; Rodentia; Heteromyidae.
GCCGGGCGCGGUGGCGCGCGUCUGUAAUCCCAGCUACUCGGAAGGCUGAGCCCGGAGGAUCGCUUGAGUCCAGGAGUUCUGGGCUGCAGUGCGCUAUGCCGAUCGGGUGUCCGCACUAAGUUCGGCAUCAAUAUGGUGACCUCCCGGGAGCGGGGGGACACCAGGUUGCCUAAGGAGGGGUGAACCGGCCCAGGUCGGAAACGGAGCAGGUCAAAACUCCCGUGCUGAUCAGAGAUGAGCCAGAAAUGUUAACUCAGAUUUUCAAGGGCUUUAUAAAUUCCGAGUGU